Long non-coding RNA from Centrocercus urophasianus (Greater sage-grouse), 2475 nucleotides. RefSeq lists it as uncharacterized. The transcript has 3 exons. The record is from RefSeq and is a predicted model, not a curated record. Lineage: Eukaryota; Metazoa; Chordata; Aves; Galliformes; Phasianidae.
GCUAUCACUGCUGUGCUUUCUGUUGUGUUACAAUAACUCAAUUUUUUUUUUUUUUUUAAUAUUCUUUAUUGUGAAGCGACUUAAAACAUAAUUCCUCUUUUGACUGAUUGCCUGUUUGCACAGUGUUAGUGCUGAUAAUUCCACAGCAAUACCAUUUUAGUUGAUUAUUCCUUUUGACUUAGGUUGUUCAAACUGACUGCUUGCUACAUUCAAAUACUACUCAAUGUAAAUUUUAACUGAAGUUAGACAUUAAGAUUCUGGGCUCUGACUCAACAGCUCAACACAAUCCUAUGAUUCUGGGCUCUUUGAAAACAAGCUCUGACUUAUAAACUAUGCUUUUCUACUGCAGCUGCUCUUAUAAAAUUUGUUUGUCAAAUUUAUACAGAUAAUGCUGGAAAUACAGAUGUGAUAACAAGCUUCUCCCUUUCCAUCACAUCUAUCAAGAGGCCACGACGCUGUAAGGCAUUGUUACCCCAACAGCGGAUGUGCAGUUCACCUACAGCCUCUGAGGUUACUGCAGAUACAUGACAGGGCUGGCAUCUUGUAAUCUGUAUUCGAAGAGUGAGGCAUAAGAAGUGAAGCAGACAGGUAAGUGUGAAAGAAUUGUCAUGCUUUCAAAGCCUGAAGAGUUGGAGAUUACUCUUUCUUCCCUCACUCAUGACAAAGUUCAAAACUUAUUGAAACUUAGAAAAAUAGUUCUACCUUGUAGUCUUCCAGAUUAUAUUUGCUUGACAAAAGUUCCAAAGAAUGUAGUUGUCACAUCAGCUCGUAGGCCAGAGAAGCUUCCUAGCAAUGAGAUGUGGAUUUGCUCAAAAUGCAUUUUCAGUUUCAUUGCACUUUAGAUUGAAGUUUUUUGUGUGUGAUUACCAAAACGAAGCAAGCUUCUCAAUAGAUCUGCCAUGGGUACAGCUCCUCAGCUCCAUCCGUGAAUGAUAAAAUGGUGCAAAAGAUGUUGCAUACUUCACAACUUCCAAAGCCUUGGAAUUCAACCCAGCAUCAUCCAGUCCUUCACCAGGGUUGUCUUCCAGUGAAGCUAUGCAAUGGCCCCAUUCCUCCAAGGUGUUACCAAGCAGCUCUCUAGGAAUAUUUUCAAAAUAAGAAGAGAAUGGUUCAGCAAAGAGGUGGAGACUCUGAGCUGAGAUCUGAGGUUGUUUGCAAGGAGCCCAAUUUAGACAAAGGCCAUAUGUCAAAGUGCAUCUUUGCAUUACUAUUGUCACACACACACAAAGAACUACAAAGACAGACGUUCUUGCGUGAUCUUGCGAUUCAAUUCCAUAUGAUGCUAAAGUAGAAAAAUUGUAUUUGUGAAAAUAGCAUCUUCAUAUCCUGCAAUUCUUUCCAGGCAGAGUAUUUUUGAGUCUAUGAGCAAUAUAUGUUAAAAAUAGUGGCUGCAUCAGGUAGCUAUAGUAAGUAACAUCUACAAAUAAGUGACAGAAGAGUACGUAAGCUGUCCCAAGUGAUAGUGCCUGAAUUUGCAUUUUACCGGACGAUGACUUCGCUCAUUGCCCGUGACACAUCAAAGCUGUCUAAACAAUGCAAGUAGCUUGUCUAGCUUUCCCAUGCUGUAUACCUUAUUCUGAGUUGCUUCCAGCUUCCAUGAGCCUCCAGUUUUCAGGUCAAAGCUUGCCAGGUUCAUUCUCUAUAAAGUUGACCUUAAACUCUGAAUGGGGGCUAUACGAAACACGUGAGAGAAAAAGGAGUUACUGUAGACUUAAAUACGGGUAAGGUUGUUGGUAUUUUAAAAAGCAUUGGCAGGGCUGCCAAUCACUGGAUCAAGUGCUAGACCAGGCUGCUCAGGGGUCCAUCCAACGAGGUCCCUGGGGCCACCAAGUCUUCUCCUCAUCUGCCCUCAUUUUAGCUUCCCUGCAGCAAGAAUUCAAGAGAAACUUGUGGAAUUGUCAUUCAUCAUUUUAUGUCAGGCUGAACAAUUUCUUCAUUGAGUUAAGUGCUACUUGUACGCUGGAACCUGAAUAAAUUGGCAACGCCAACUGCAUGAUUUGUGGAGAACAACGCAAUGGGAGAACAUCUGCUGUCCCAACAGUGACCUGGAAGGAAAUCUGACAAUGUUGUUACGCUGAGGCUUGGCCAUGCAGCUUCCAGUGACUGAAUAGCUGUUAUUGCCCCUUGUCCUGAAAGAUGGAAUUUGUGAAAACUGGGGGCUCCUGUAUUGGAGAUGAAUACUAGAAGAAGCUUUCAAGCCUCUACGGUGGAAACCUUCUGCAGCUUGGUCCUUUGUGACAGACAGUAUGAGAUCCAGGCAGGGCAAGAAAAGUAAACCAAAGCAACUUUAAUGAUUCUCUCAGAUUAGCACAUGCUAAAAAGAACUCUCAGCCAUUACGUGGAGGCUUACUGCACUUUGAGGUACUGCGUGCAGAAUUAGAUUUAUAUUUGCUUAAAUGAACUGGGAGUCCCAUGGAGGGAUCAUAGAAUCACAGAAUCACCAAGGUUGGAAAAGACCUCCGGGAGCAUCCAGUC